Molecule: non-coding RNA, 781 nt
Organism: Lolium perenne
Lineage: Eukaryota; Viridiplantae; Streptophyta; Magnoliopsida; Poales; Poaceae
Source: RefSeq, a predicted model, not a curated record
CAGACCCAACCGACCGAGGGCAUCCCAUCAUCAAACAUUGCGCCCGUUCCCCAUACUCCUAUCCCCUGCUGUUUCCUCUCCUCUCACCUUAUUUCUUUUUCUGCAACCAACCGAGGGCAGCGGAAGACCUCCAUGGGCGACGUUCAAGCCUCCAUCUCCCUCAGACCCUCACUGGCCGCCGCACGGCACCGCUCCAGAUCUAUCCCUCACCCAAGGAUGGACCGAGGAGAAGUUAAGAUAUCUCACGGACUAGGCGCAGUCCACGCAGCUCCUGCCUCUGCGUACCUCUUACCGCCACUCGGUCUCCGGUGUGGCGGCGUCGCCGUUCUGAGCCCCAGCGCCUCUCCUGCGGAGUAGAAUUGGUCUCUGCCCAUGCCUGUUUUGGCCUUGGCCGCGCCGCCCACCGCAUCUGGCCGGCUCGGCCAGGCCGUCGUGGCAUGUUUGCCGUGCUUGCCCUCACGAAGACCAGCCUCAUCCACUGGCUCCUUGCCUCUCCAUUCACAGGGCUUCGAUGGUAUGGUGCCGUGGCACCUCCGUGUUUCACAAUUGGCCUUGAUGUUUGUUACUUCAGAACUUGCUGUUCAAGAGUUGGAUGCAUGAAGCAGCCAGGCAACACGGUGGUCAUAACAUAAGCUUUCAAAUUGGUAAUGUUUCAGCCACUAAAGCGUGCCUUCCAGGACGGCUUGAUUUUUUUAAGCAGGUGUGGUCCGUUCAGUCCUCACGAAGGUUAUAUCUCUGUCCAGUUUUGGUUUUGUUCAAAUAUCAUGUGGUUGUAUUAAGA